AAAUCUCUCCCCCCUUUAUCUUGGCUUGGAUCCACCCCUGUCUGUGAUAAUAUUAUUAUUGUAGUAUAAAAUUAUAAUUAAAUUCUGAGGAAAGUAUUUCUGGUUUCAGUCCGCGCACUAUAUAAAAGAAACUUUUUGGUCAAUUUAAAAGUAUAGUCAAAUAAUCUGGACUUUAGACAAAGUUUUUGGAUUUAAUAAUGCCAUUUAAAACCAUCGCCAAGUUUCGUUACCACAAAUUAAAUUUCCCAUCUUUCUUUUACUCUAUAUGUGUGCCAGUAUUAC
Molecule: non-coding RNA, 282 nt
Organism: Cinara cedri
Lineage: Eukaryota; Metazoa; Arthropoda; Insecta; Hemiptera; Aphididae
Source: the annotation of a GenBank genome assembly